AAGGUCUGUGAAAUUCUGAUUCACAUCUCCUGAAUGCAACUCAAGCACUUUAAUUAAGCUAAAACCUC
RNAcentral lists this transfer RNA (68 nucleotides) under Trachylepis damarana (Damara skink). RNAcentral describes it as "tRNA-Ala". Lineage: Eukaryota; Metazoa; Chordata; Lepidosauria; Squamata; Scincidae. The record is from RNAcentral.